UCCUGGCCUAGCACUCUAAAUGACAAUUGGAAGAGUAACAUUAGGCAUAACAAGAUAUCCCUGAGAUUCCUUGGAAUUGUUUUGUUGAUUCUGUUUUUCCCCUGACUGCUCCUGGUUGUUGUUAUUGCUAUUUUUCCUCUUCCCCUUCUUAUUUGAAUUUUUAGUAUCACACUUCACAAACUGAGGGUCCUCACCAUCUUGUGCAUCUGGUAGCACUUCAGUAACAUUAUUAAAAUCAGUUGUCUCUGCUUUCUUCUUAUUCUCAUGACCAGCCGCAUCCAUACUAACAGUUAUAUCAUCUUGUUGCACUAUCGGAUUCACA
Molecule: long non-coding RNA, 322 nt
Filed under: Capsicum annuum
Lineage: Eukaryota; Viridiplantae; Streptophyta; Magnoliopsida; Solanales; Solanaceae
Description: long non-coding RNA (CANN_LNC018727)
Source: RNAcentral